This 246-nucleotide ribosomal RNA is filed under the name uncultured Pseudomonas sp. Its description in RNAcentral is "partial 16S ribosomal RNA". It matches the Rfam family "Bacterial small subunit ribosomal RNA", at positions 1136 to 1382 of the family's 1533-position model. The record is from RNAcentral. Lineage: Bacteria; Pseudomonadati; Pseudomonadota; Gammaproteobacteria; Pseudomonadales; Pseudomonadaceae.
CACUCUAAGGAGACUGCCGGUGACAACCGGAGGAAGUGGGGAUGACGUCAAGUCAUCACUGGCCCUUACGGCCUGGGCUACACACGUGCUACAAUGGUCGGUACAAAGGGUUGCCAAGCCGCGAGGUGGAGCUAAUCCCAUAAAACCGAUCGUAGUCCGGAUCGCAGUCUGCAACUCGACUGCGUGAAGUCGGAAUCGCUAGUAAUCGUGAAUCAGAAUGUCACGGUGAAUACGUUCCCGGGCCUU